RNAcentral lists this ribosomal RNA (497 nucleotides) under uncultured bacterium. RNAcentral describes it as "partial 16S ribosomal RNA". It matches the Rfam family "Bacterial small subunit ribosomal RNA", at positions 28 to 507 of the family's 1533-position model. The record is from RNAcentral.
GAUGAACGCUGGCGGCGUGCCUAAUACAUGCAAGUCGAGCGAACAGACGAGGAGCUUGCUCCUCUGACGUUAGCGGCGGACGGGUGAGUAACACGUGGAUAACCUACCAAUAAGACUGGGAUAACUUCGGGAAACCGGAGCUAAUACCGGAUAAUAUAUUGAACCGCAUGGUUCAAUAGUGAAAGACGGUUUUGCUGUCACUUAUAGAUGGAUCCGCGCCGCAUUAGCUAGUUGGUAAGGUAACGGCUUACCAAGGCAACGAUGCGUAGCCGACCUGAGAGGGUGAUCGGCCACACUGGAACUGAGACACGGUCCAGACUCCUACGGGAGGCAGCAGUAGGGAAUCUUCCGCAAUGGGCGAAAGCCUGACGGAGCAACGCCGCGUGAGUGAUGAAGGUCUUCGGAUCGUAAAACUCUGUUAUUAGGGAAGAACAAAUGUGUAAGUAACUAUGCACGUCUUGACGGUACCCAAUCAGAAAGCCACGGCUAACUACGUG